GCGCCUCCAUGCCCGGAUAAUGGAUUAGCAUCGAUGCUAGGUUUAUCUUCUUGAAACUUCAACCACCCGGCGUCGAUUAGGGCCUGUACUUUAUGUUUGAAGGCCAUACACCUCUCAGUUGAAUGACCCACGCCUCCCCCAUGAUAACUACACUUGGCAUCGGCAUCGUAACCUCUGGGGUAAGGAGGCUGCAUAGGCAUCAUCGGACAUAUAGCAACCAGACCC
RNAcentral lists this long non-coding RNA (225 nucleotides) under Vigna radiata. RNAcentral's name for it is "long non-coding RNA (VRAD_LNC006047)". The record is from RNAcentral. Lineage: Eukaryota; Viridiplantae; Streptophyta; Magnoliopsida; Fabales; Fabaceae.